RNAcentral lists this ribosomal RNA (455 nucleotides) under Campylobacter fetus. Its description in RNAcentral is "bacterial SSU rRNA". It matches the Rfam family "Bacterial small subunit ribosomal RNA", at positions 555 to 1009 of the family's 1533-position model. Lineage: Bacteria; Pseudomonadati; Campylobacterota; Epsilonproteobacteria; Campylobacterales; Campylobacteraceae. The record is from RNAcentral.
UUGGCGUAAAGGACGCGUAGGCGGAUUAUCAAGUCUUUUGUGAAAUCUAACAGCUUAACUGUUAAACUGCUUGAGAAACUGAUAAUCUAGAGUGAGGGAGAGGCAGAUGGAAUUGGUGGUGUAGGGGUAAAAUCCGUAGAGAUCACCAGGAAUACCCAUUGCGAAGGCGAUCUGCUGGAACUCAACUGACGCUAAUGCGUGAAAGCGUGGGGAGCAAACAGGAUUAGAUACCCUGGUAGUCCACGCCCUAAACGAUGUAUACUAGUUGUUGCUGUGCUAGUCACGGCAGUAAUGCACCUAACGGAUUAAGUAUACCGCCUGGGGAGUACGGUCGCAAGAUUAAAACUCAAAGGAAUAGACGGGGACCCGCACAAGCGGUGGAGCAUGUGGUUUAAUUCGAAGAUACGCGAAGAACCUUACCUGGGCUUGAUAUCCAACUAAUCUCUUAGAGAUAA